UCUGCUUGAAAAUAAACAUUCUUCUAUAAGCACUCAUGGCUGUGGCAGCCCUUGUUGCCACUUGUCUCUUUGAGUAGUCAUACAGUUUGUUGGUCAUACAGUUUCCAAGUGGCUGUUGUGAUUGGGGUUCAUGGAGACUCCUUUUUGGCUAUAAGCCAAGACCAGAUGCUUUGGUUUUUUGAAUGAGAAAUUAGAGAAAAAGGUUAUUGUUUUUUAAAUUUAUUUGGUGAACAAGUAUUUUAUUGACAGCUGAAAUUAAAGAGGGGAAGAGGCUGGGAAAAUUUCUGUUUAAAAAAAAACAAAAAACACAUCAAUCUAGACUCACAGUAGUUACUGUUACUAAAAUAAGGUUUCUUUCUUUUUAGCUUUCCUGCCUGUAACUCUUCCAUUGGUCAUUUCUUCAUCACUUCAGCUGAAGGCAAAACAAAUUUUUCUUUGUCAGUUUGCAUUUCAUGUAUACACCACAGGAUUUACCCUAUUAAAUGGAAAUUGUACCACUAAGGAUGAAGAGAACU
Molecule: long non-coding RNA, 515 nt
Filed under: Phasianus colchicus (ring-necked pheasant)
Lineage: Eukaryota; Metazoa; Chordata; Aves; Galliformes; Phasianidae
Description: lncRNA (ENSPCLG00000008728.1)
Source: RNAcentral